CUACGGGUUGCUGCAGUGGGGAAUAUUGGACAAUGGGGGAAACCCUGAUCCAGCAAUGCCGCGUGUGUGAAGAAGGCCUGCGGGUUGUAAAGCACUUUCGGUUGGGAGGACUGCUUCUAGCACUAAUAUUGUUGGAAGUUGACGUUGCCUUCAGAAGAAGCACCGGCUAACUCCGUGCCAGCAGCCGCGGUAAUACGGAGGGUGCAUGCGUUAAUCGGAAUUACUGGGCGUAAAGCGCGCGUAGGCGGCUAGAUCAGUCGGGUGUGAAAGCCCCGGGCUUAACCUGGGAACUGCAUCCGAUACUGUCUAGCUUGAGUACAGGAGAGGAGAGUGGAAUUCCACAUGUAGCGGUGAAAUGCGUAGAUAUGUGGAGGAACACCAAUGGCGAAGGCAGCUCUCUGGCCUGAUACUGACGCUGAGGUGCGAAAGCGUGGGGAGCAAACAGGAUUAGAUACCCCUGUAGUC
RNAcentral lists this ribosomal RNA (465 nucleotides) under uncultured bacterium. RNAcentral describes it as "partial 16S ribosomal RNA". It matches the Rfam family "Bacterial small subunit ribosomal RNA", at positions 339 to 795 of the family's 1533-position model. The record is from RNAcentral.